AUUGAACGCUGGCGGAAUGCUUUACACAUGCAAGUCGAACGGCAGCACGGACUUCGGUCUGGUGGCGAGUGGCGAACGGGUGAGUAAUGUAUCGGAACGUGCCCAGUCGUGGGGGAUAACGUAGUGAAAAUUACGCUAAUACCGCAUACGAUCUAUGGAUGAAAGCGGGGGAGCGCAAGACCUCGCGCGAUUGGAGCGGCCGAUAUCAGAAUAGGUAGUUGGUGGGGUAAAGGCCCACCAAGCCAACGAUCUGUAGCUGGUCGGAGAGGACGACCAGCCACACUGGAAAUGAGACACGGUCCAGACUCCUACGGGAGGGAGCAGUGGGGAAUUUUGGACAAUGGGCGAAGGCCUGAUCCAGCCAUUCCGCGUGGAGGAUGAAGGCCCUCGGGUUGUAAACUGCUUUUGUACAGAACGAAAAGGUUUCUACUAAUACUAGGAGCUCAUGACGGUACUGUAAGAAUAAGCACCGGCUAACUACGUGCCAGCAGCCGCCGUAA
RNAcentral lists this ribosomal RNA (500 nucleotides) under uncultured bacterium. RNAcentral describes it as "partial 16S ribosomal RNA". It matches the Rfam family "Bacterial small subunit ribosomal RNA", at positions 30 to 523 of the family's 1533-position model. The record is from RNAcentral.